UUUAUCGAAUGGUCAUUUAUAUUCAUCUUACCAUGCACGUAUUAUAUAAUCUUUAUAUUAUACCAAAAACAGAUUAGUCUUUGUUAGUUCCUUAAUGCAUGCUAUAGAUUUUGUAUAUUUACCCAAUUAAAAUUCAAUUUAUAUAACCCUAAUUUGUCUUACCCGAACUACUAAAAAAUAACCAUAAUUGAAGUGUGGCGAGUAGUGACGCGAUACCUUGUAAAAAAAGACACGAGUUGAGAAUUGAAAGGUGAAAGCAUUGAUGCAAAGCAAGUAGGUCCAUAUGAGUUGGUGCCUUCUUAUUCAAAUUGUCCUUGUUUCGUUUCUCUACUCAAAACUCUUCAACAUGGAUCUGCUCAUUGCUCAUAUUUUAUUUUAUUUUUAUUUGGAUCCAUAUAGAAGAUUACAAUUAAUUAUGUAUGGAGCUGGAGGUUCUCUGUCAAGGAAGAAAACAAAAUUUAUUUAUCUGUUUGUUUAAACUAUAUAUCCUUCAAUUAAACCUCAUAACGAAAAUGAAUAAUUUGAUUUCUAGUUAUUCAGCCACCUAAUUGACCUGUUAAUUUAUGUUAUCUGUCUCGUAAUUUUUAUGGAUCUAUGCAAGUUUUAAUUUUAUAAGAACAACUAAAAUAAUUUUAUUAAAAUGGCUCCAAAUUUUUUUAAAAAUCCUUUAAAUUUUGAAAAAUGCUUUAAAUUGUAAUCAAAGAGUUGCAUAAAAUUAUUGAGCCCAAAGCAAAUGCACCUCUUGUUAACAUACCAAGACUUCGGGCAUUGUAACAUAGUAAAUCAGCUGAUUGGUUGAACCUGUGGAUCGACCGAACUUACAUUUUUCUGCUAUUUCAAAAUUUACAAUUACACUCCAUAAACUAACAGCAAAUUCGAGUUAAAGCUCUCCAAGCAUAAAUCUUAGGUGUAUAAUGAAUUACCCAUGAAUUAAUGAAAUUCGAAGUAAACAAAAAAUUUCACCCAACAAGGAGAUUAAAGCUUACACACAUCGAUAUACUGAAGUUGAAAUAUAUAAAAAUAAUGAGUUGUAAAAUGGAAAGAACGACAAAGAGGUAUGCAGAAUUGGGGUUGGUGUCCAACAAAGAAGAGACAUGUAAUAUUAUGUUUACUACGUUGGGAUCUUUUCUAAGUGACCCGCUUUUGUUUUGAUGUCUUAUAUGUAUAUCUCACUUUCAUGGUUUCAUCCAUCGACAAUUACAAACCACGCAUCCCCAUUUUACCCUACCAUUUGUUCUACAUCCAUACGUGCGUCUUCAAAUACAUACACUUUAGAUGAUAUGAUUUCAUAUAAACAUGAUACAUAUUAAAUGGAUGUAUUUUUAAUUUUUCAAAUGAAAGGAGAGCGGUGGUUCUAGGAUCAUACACUUCUAUUAUAACUGCGUGUUCACUCUUUCCCGACAACCAAAUUCGUUUUGAAACCUUUGUACAUAUUGGCUAUGUGUAUUCCCAUAAAUAUCAUUUCCACUCAUAAUGUCGUACAUACAUUGAUAGUUAACUCCAAUAAGAUCAUGUAUCAUACAAUUUAUCUGAUCAAAACAUCUUUAAUAUUAAAUUUUUGGAAAAGGAAAAAAAGAAACUAACAAAUUGAAACAUACGUUUUAUGAUGUUCAAUACGAGAAGAAAGAGUCUAGAAAGGAACCCUCAUCUCAAAUUUCCAUAAUUCUUUAAGCAAAAAAAAAAAAAAAUAUAUAUAUAUAUAUUUCCAUAAUUCUCUAACAAAACUAGUUUUACAACCUGCCGGCUUAUAUCAUAAGCAAGGUAGCCAAUGGCUUAGUGCCAAAUAUUUAUGCGUAUAACAGAUUAGUUAUGUAAGUUUAAAACCUUUGAAGUAUAUAGCCUAUUUUGUUUAAGACCAGUCAAUAUCAUAUUAGAUACUGUUUUCCUAAUUAUUCAAGUAUUACUGAGGAAAAAAUUAUUCAAGUAUUACAGUAAACAGGAUUCAAUAUAUAGAUCAAUGUAUUUAUAUGCAUAUUAUGCAGUCUAUAAAACCUAACAAUUUAUGGAACUCUCAUGAUUGAUUUCAGGUACGCGCUAUGAUCAACUGCUUGACAAGUUUUUGUUUUCCUAACCCAUAUGGGUUGGCGUGAUGAUGAUUAGGUCUAGUCACGAUGACAGAAGGAAGUACUAAUUUAAUUAUCUGUUAACAAUCUUUUAGGCCAUUUAGUCUAUAUAUGCCUUAAAGAUCCAUUAAUAGUUUAUGCAAAGUGGAUAUGAUCAAAAUAAAUGCAUUUUUACCAGCCAAAGUAGAAUCUCUACUUAGUUACAAAAGCACAAACACAAAUCAUGUGAUUGAAAAGACUGUCACAAUCUUAGUUAAAAAAUUUAAAAUUCUUAUUUUAUUCCACCUUUCACGUUUCGCUAGUAAAUAGUAAGAUAAUAUUUCCAAGCACUUUAAUCUUUAUAUUCUUACUAUAUAUACAAAGUUAAACGCACAUACAUAUGCUGUAACUCGAGUCAUGUUCGAACAGAUGGAAUAGCCAAAGAUUUUCCUUGUCUGGUAUGAAAUUGAAUACCUGCCUUAUGUAGAAUAGACUCUCCAUGUGCACUGAUUUAUUGUAGAUUCUUUGUUUUCCUACCUCUAUAUAUAUCAUAUUAUAUAUAAAUUUAUUUUUUAAAAAUAAAAGAUAAUCUACUAGAUGGAAACACAGUAGGCCACAUGCUCAUCCUCUUUUUCUCUCCUUUUUUCUUCUCCUGGCCAAGCCAAGCAGUGAUGACAUGUUUAAAGAAUGCUCACAUUUUGGAAUUCUGAAAUAUUUUAAAACAUUUAUGAAAUUAUUAUCUAUGAUAGUUACUGUAAACCACUCUCUGGAUUGAUUCAUUUAGAAACACAUAACAUCGUGGACUUAUUACAUCUGCCAAUAGUAGAGAUCCUUAGCCUUUUGGUUCUCUGAUUCACAAAUCUGUAUGUGUUGCUUUUGCAUGUGAUAUUUUGAAUGAAAGAUAUGGAUAACAUGUGAUCCCUAUGAUCCAUCUUAAUUAUUGAGAUGUUAAAUAGGCAUCUUUGAUAGUAUAACGAAUAAUGAUACCAUUAUACUUUUUUUUUGAUCAAACAUUAUACAUAUAUAUAUAUAUAUAUAUGUAUCUAUAUGUGUGCAAGACGAUGGAGAAGCAUUGGAUCCAUUAGUUUAAUAUUUCUUUAUUAGGUGUCAAUCAUAUGACCAAACCUUUGACUUGAUUCUGAUCCUAUGAUUACCUAUGUGUCAAUCUAUAAGGCAGUUUAGACGAAAAUGUUUUAUUCUUGGAUCUACUCCUCAUAAUCUUCUGAGGAUAAAUAAAAAUAUAAUCAAAUAUUGGUUCUAUUAUAAUUUAAAUAACUUUAAAAUAUUCGAAGAGCCUUCAGAAAAUGUUUGGUGCCAAAAGCAAAGGGGAACAUGGGAUGGACCACACCAAAGAAAAAAAAACUUUCCAAUAAAAUAAGUUUAAAAACAAUAGAAAGAUAAUAUAAACGACAAACAGAUAAUUAAUAGUGCCACCCAACUUGUGGGGAAGUUGUUUGUCUGGGUUUGUUUGAGAAAGGCCAUUAACAAUUUUGACCCAAGUAACUCUACUUUCCCCAGAAUAAUCAUAAAUAAAAAUUACUGAAGUAUACAAUUUAACACUAGAAUAUUGAAAAGUACGUUAAUUAUUUUAAUUUUUUUAUUAAUUAGUUGGUUAAAUGUGAAAAUAAGUAGAAAUUGAAUAUUAUUUCAAUGGCGUAAGUAUUAUUUUCAUGUCAAAUUUUCGAAAACACAAUUUCUUGUAGAUUUGAAUGCAAAUUUGGAGAUUCAAACAUGUUAUGUCUUACAAACCCUUUAAAAACUUGUUAUGUAUAAAUUUUUGGGUAAUUUUGUCAAAGACAUUUUUAGUCAAUGAAACGGUUAUAUUAAUCUAACGGUCCAAAAAACUUAUAAGAGUAGAACCGGAAGUAAAUUCAACGGCAAGCUAAUUAACAAAUACUACAACAACGAGAAGGUAGAUAGAUGUGCUUAAGGAGUGCAAGAACCCGAAGAAAUACUUCAGUUGAAACCCAUAAACUAUUGUUCGAAAUAACAAUUGAUUGAUGAUAGUCGGAAAAAAAACGUUGAUGCACCGUAAAAGUUAAAUGUUGACCGGCAAGAAUUUCUUGUGAAAAGCUCAAAAAUUGUAGGCAACAUCGAGAUUACGAAUUCCUAGCCGACUUGAUUUGACACUAAAAUAAGCAUGAUCAACUCUAAAAUCGACAAAGCUCACAAAAAAAACUAGAUGAAUCUCAAACACAUUGACGAGUAAUUAUCGGUCAGGAAGAUGGUGAGACUAAGUGAAUCUCAAAAGUACCAUUAGAGACUUCAGAACAGCCAAUAUAGUAGAGGUUAACUUGAUAACAUGAUAAAGCGGGGACUUUGGUCAAAUCAAAGCAUAUGACACCGACAUUACCGCGCUGGAGAAUGCGAACUUUGAGGAAACCGAGUCUGAAACACGGAUCCACGAAACCUGUCAAGUUAGUGAUAAGUCAUAGACGGUCUGAGCUGAAGUCGGAGACUUCGGUGUACAAUGAGUGAGUUUGUGUAAUCCUCCAUGAGGAGCCGGUGAGGCAGAGAUGGUGAAGGUCUGAAGAAAUCAGUGAAUUUGCCAGCGUCAGUUGAGAUUUAAUCUCCAGCUGCACUGGACCAAUUCGGCAAUGAGGCUUUUCAAUAAAAGACACAAGUCUAACAGUUCUAAAGUUCAUUAAGGAGAAACCAUUCUGGUGUGCAGAAACGUGUCUUGGCGUGGUCAUCUGGGCCCUUCCGAGGAGCGGAUGACGGAGCAGCAGGUGAGAUCCGGAGAGGAAAUUAGAUUUAUGUGGAAGGACCAACAGAAUUCGCAGGUUGCGGUGUGGUCAAAAGAGAGGAGAGGUGACUUAGGUGGAAGGAAGAGUAGCAGCGGUGAUAGAAGAUGGAAUUGUCGGUGGGCCCUGCGUAAAGCGAAUUUUAUUAAAGAGGUAAAAUAUUCUUCUAUAUUUACUUUAUUGGUAUAUAAAUAAUUAUUUAAAUAAAUAAUAUAAAUUAUUAUUAUUGAAUAAUAUGUUUUUCAAUUUUAAGUUUUUUUUUUGUUUUUUUAGUAUUUUAUUUUAAAUUUUAAAUAUUAUUUUUUUAAUCCUAAAUCUCCUUUCCAAAAAUCUCUCCCCGCAAAUCUAAUCAUUAAGACUAAAUUAAUUAAUAUUAUAAAUAUAAGUAUCUAUUUACUUAUUUAAUAAAACAUUUUGGUCAUUUUUGACAUUUGUAUGUUAUAUUUAUGAUGAAAAGUUUUAGUGUUAUCUUAGAUAAUUUCUCUAAAUUUUGUUUGCAACAAUUACUUAGUAUGCAUAAGAAAAUGAAAUGUUUCCGUCAGAAGGAAAAGAUAUGAAGGUUGUAUGUCUUAAAUUACCAUUUUCUAGCACAUUUAAACAAUCACGCUCCUAAUGCUAACAUCGUUUACCUUCUUGAUUUCUGUUAAAUUUUAUAAGCUUGUAUUGGUGGUAUAUUAGUUAACUAGGAUAAGAUUUGCGUUUUACGAAGAUUGAGUUAUACUAUUAAAAUAUUAAAUAUACUGUAUUGACAAAUUUCAGAUAUAUAUAUGAUCGAAUUGCUUUUAUAUGUAUACAAUUUUUGAUUGUUUAUAUAAUCAUUUAUAUGUUGGACCGAUACAUUUGGAUAUUUUCUUUUACUAACUUACUACUAAAUAAAUUUAUAUAUUUUUGAUUUUGAAAUUACACUAAUUUUCAGAAUAUCAGAUUUUUACUUUCUUUUUGACAUAAAAUGGAAAAUUAAAAUAUUAAAAAAAAAUUACAAAUUGGGUUAGACUUAUAAUUUGAAGUAUAGUUUGGUUAUGAGACAUUGACAACAUAAAAUUUUACAGUCCGACUAUUAUUAUACUUAAGGCCUAAAUAUAGAAAAAUGAUAAUAUUACUUGUUUGAAACUGAUACUUUGUAUAGAAUGAAAGUUAGGUAAACAUGAUAUAUAUCAUUAACUAAUAAGAAAGAUCAUUAUUAAUGUUUUCGUAGACUACGAAAAACAUAUAGAUAGGUGCCAAAGCUUUUUUUUAAUCUUCACUAUAAAUUUUAUUAUUUAAGUUCUAAAGAAUUGUGUUGCAACGAAAAAUAUUUGAUAUAUAAGUUCGUUUGGUAAUGACAAAACAACUUAAUUUUUGUAUUACUCUUUAUAUAAAUUUCUAUAGAUGAGCAAGGCUUAGAAACGAACAAUAUUCUUUUUUAUUGUAUUAACAAAACAAUUUUGAAUAGAUGCGUCUCUUUAAAAUUAAAAAAAAAAAUCAACACAAAAAAAAUCAUUACUUUCUGAUUUAUAGCAAAAGCAUCCAAUACUUAGGCCAUAAUAUAUAGCAAACUUCGAUUUUAGAUGAUGUCUAAUAAUACGGACUAAGAGUAUAUCUUACACUUUAUAAAAAAAUUAUUAUAUUGGAUCACAAUAUAAAUCAACUUUGAGUCGUUUAAAGAAUGUCUCAUUUAAUGAGAUCACCAAGUAUUAACUUAAUGAGAUCGCUGAGUAUUAAAUCUACCAUAUCAUAUACAUUUAUGUUUGGGUUAAUAUAAGUUUUUCUGAUAAUUGGAUUUUAGACUUACUAAUUUUUCAAUUGAUUCUUAUGAUGCCACGUAAGCCAAAUUGUCAUCCUAAUCAAGUGAUAUCUAAGCAAAAAAAAAUUAAUUAAUACAAAUUUGAGGUUAUACCUUUUAAAAUAUUUUUCUAUUAAUAUAUAUGGUAUUAGACUUUCUAAAAUGAUAAAGAAAUCACAAAUUUAAGCCCAUUAAAUGAUGUAUAUUUAUAAAACAAUGAGUGAGUAUAAUCUGAGUACUUGCCAUUUUGGGUAUAUCUGGUACUUGGUUUGUUUUGUAAAAAUAAUAGAAAUUUAUAUUUGUAUUUGGUUUGUGAAAAACAAGUACUUGCAAUUUCAAUUAUUUACUAAAAAUGAAGUAUUUACAAGUAAUUGCCCCAUCUUACUAUUUAUUAUUUCUAAACUAUUUAUUUGAUAAUUAUUUAUAAGUUAUUUGAUAGUAUCUAUUUUAGCUAAUUAAAUUUUGCACAAGAAUAUGAAAAAAGCCUAAUUUGUUGAAAUUUUAAACUAAACAAGUCUCUUAAUUAUUUUAUGAAAAAUAUUUCUUUAUUUCUUAUAUGUUUUAAGUUGAUGCGUGAUAACAUUAAAGACGUAAUGAGAAACGUUUUAAUCCUCAUCAUGUAUAUACAAUAAGAUUUCUCAUAUACACAAUUUAUUCUAUCAUCAUUUAGAUAAAAAAAAUUUCUUCAAGAGUAAGAACUGGUAAUAAACUUACAACAUCAAAUUGUUAAUUUUAUUUUAGUACUUGAUCUUUUUUUUGUAUCUACAAGUAACUGAAAGAAAUGAUCUGCUAUCCGACUUGGUCGAGAUGAAUACUUAAUUUUACGGACAACAUUACGUAUGGGGUGGGUAAUUGUGGCCACCUCUACAUAAAACAGUGGAAGAUAACAAUAGUAACAGUAUAAAAUAGUAUAUCAUGUGGGUUACGGGGCUUAAGUAAUGCCACAAGAAUUCGGCUAAACUUUAGACGUCUUUUUUACUUUUUCGUGGUAUUUCCAACGGCCUCUUCUCCAUUCAUUUUUUAGGGGUUUUACCCUUUAACAAUCCGUCAUCUCCUCAAAUUUUAAGAAGGUAAAAUAGUAUACCCUUAAAUUUGACAGUGGACUGUUUUUCUCCUUUGAACACAAUUUACUUUCCAUUUUACUCUAUCUAUUGAUGACACAUGUCCAAUGAUCGUGUGCUUGUUAUUUUUUGUGCUGCAUUUUAGUACUAUAAUUAUAUUAUCACUUAAAUGUUAUAAUUAUGGUCUUAUAAAGUUAAUUUCAAAUAAUAAUAAUAUAUUCAUUAAUAUUGUAUACCAAAAUAUAAUAAUAUUAAUACAAACGUAUUAUUUCACACAACAAUAAUAAUACAUUGCGGAAAUUUAACAAAAAUUAAAAAUCAUAAUACAAUCAUAAUAUUUUAUAUCAAAAUAAAAGUUACAUAAGCUGAAAUAUUAAGCAUUAAAAAAUAUAUUACAACACUAAUAUUCAGGUAAAUUUGGUCUCGAACCUCCAAGAUCAUCAAAAAGUUAUCGAUAUAAAUUUGGAGCAGUCUCUUCAGAUUCUUGUUUCUGAGUUCUUUUUAUAUGAUUCUUGCUUGUUCAGCUCAGAUAAAGUGGCAAGUGUUAAUAUUAUUGAUGAAGUUUAAAUUUGUCAGCAAAUUUUUAUUUUCUUCUUCCAUUUCUUUUAGAGUUAAUUUUUUUUUUCUUGAUUUUGCAUGCGUAACUGAACUGUCUUAUAUUUUUACCAGAUUCGAGAUACAAGACCGGCACCCCGAAUAAAAGUUAAAAUUGCCAUAAACAAAGAUAUACGUUUUCAACAGUUUUUAGCAUGUAAUCUGCAAAUAAAAAAUAAAGAAGCUCACUUAUUACUUAAAAUGCAUUGAUUGAGCAUAUAUAAAAGCAUUACGGAAAUAAUCGUAUUGAUUAGUUUUAUAUUUGGUAAAUUUUGUAAUGUGAAUUGUAUGUGUUUAAUUGUUAUAUGCAAUUUUAUGUCUUUUAUUUUUUAUUAUAAGUAAUUUAGUGUUAUUACUAAUUCUUUUUAUUAAUUAUGUCAAUACCAUAUAUAAAUAUGUGCUUUUCUAUAAAUUAAAGUUUAAUUAUUAUAAUUAAUUAUUAAUAGAACUGCUGUAAAAUAUAAAAUUUUAAGAAAAAAUAUUUGAGGAUCACCAUUGGAAAAUCAUCCCUUCAUCCUUUUAUUUUCAGGGUGGUCCCAUUCAAAACGAGGAAGCUUGUUGGAGAUGCCCUCAAGUCAAAUAUAAAAGAUUUUUUUUUAUGAACUACCAAUAUAAAAGAAGGCUUAUUUGCCAAAUAACCAAAAAAAAGAAGUGAAAUUAGUUUUUUAGAGAGAUAGUAGAAAAAGAUAGGAAGAAAAAGUAGGAGAGAUAGGAUUUUUUAGUUAGUGUAUUUUUAGCAAAUUUCCCUAUAAAGGAACCCUCAAAGUAGAAAUAGUAAUAAUAAAAAAAAAAGUUAAAGAUGAGAAGGUGGAAUUAAAAAGAGAUUAAAAACGUAUUUGAUCUAUUUAUUUAAACAAGAGGAACAUGUCCAUCAUUUAUAUCAAUGGCCUUGGAGAAAAACAACAUUGCUCCCACUUAGAGAGAGAAAAAGAGUUCUUCACAGCAACUAGAGAAAGGAUCCAAAGGGAUCGCAUUGAUCCUAAUCAAGCUGAGUUAUUCCCGAAUAAUUAUUUUAAACUUUUCUCAAUGGAAAGAUAGAAAAAAAAAAGAUUUGCUUCGUUUUCCGGAUCAUGCGAUCUCUUCGGAUUCAUCCUUUGGUAGCUUCCACCUUGGUCAAAGGGUUUCUACAAAGUUUCGAGGAUUUAGGAUACAUGUCAAGAAAACAAGAAUAUGAGGGGAUACGGCGAAUUCACAGUUCGAUUUCCAUUGGCCACUCAGACUACCUUAAAUGGUAAGAAUAUGUGUCGGCUUCCAGUCUCACGAAAUAAAAUGGUUGAUCUCGGUCGCCGGAUUCCCAUCGUUAUCAAAAAAGAAAAGUUCUUUAGUUUCUAAGAAAUGAUUAUCAGAUCAAUCUAUUAAAAUAUGUGGUAUGAAAGUCAAUAUCUGUAAAACUUUUUCUUACUAAUAUCUACCUUUGAAAUAAUAUGUCACUGUGUAUAUUGAUUUCUCUGGUUAAUAUUUUCUUACAACUUUCGUUGUUUCUUUGUAAAACCACUUAAUAUCAUUCAUUCAACCUUGUCUGGAUACAAUACAAAAAAAGUACUUUUCAUUUUCUUUGAAAAAAAUAUAAAGUACAAGGAAAGAUAGAACUAAUUCAAAUAGGUUUUCCUCAAAAGAUGACAACAAACUCGAAACAAAGUUUAGUGAUGUCAAAAAAGCCUUCCUUACGAAGUCAAACAAUUGGAAAAUAGUCACAUAAUAUGACAUUUAAGCUAACUCUCAGCAACAGAAAACACUGAAAUAUUUUCGAUUGCAUCUUAACAUCUAUUUUCAUAGAAAAAGAGCAUGAUUGUAAAGUCGGUUGUUAAGAGCAUCUUUACAAAAGUACUCUAUUUUGAAGUUUACAAAAUUUUAUAUUGAAGUUUAAAAGUGUUUUUUCCAAAAGAUAAACUUCAAACUUAACUUCAAAAGUAUUUAUAUUUUAUAUUAUUAUCCUUAUAUUUAUCUUAAUUAAUUUAAAUUGAUAAACUUUUAUAAAUAACUAGUCACAUAUGUAAAAUAUUACAACAAUAUUAAUUAAUAAAAUGUUUCAUGAAAUAUAAAAAUUGCAUAGAUAUUCAUAAUUAAAUAUUAAACUACAAUAAAAUUAUCACAUUAAUCCAUAAAACUAUAUAUGUAAUGCUUCUAUACAUGAUCAACUAGUGCCUUUUUAAAUCUAAUUUUAAAAUAUUUUAAACUUUAUUUUAAAUCUUUUAUUUAAUUUAUGUGUAAAAUUUAAAUUUACAAAAAAAAUUAAAAUAUUUAUAAGAUAUAAAAUUUCAAGGAUUAAAACGAUAAACAACAAAAUAUUUAAUAAUCAUAAAUGUGAUGUGUAAUUGUAAAGAUUAAAAAUCAAAUAAAUUAUGAAACUUAAAAUUUGAAGUUUUGAGUUUUGACACUUCAAAUAUAAAAUUUCAAAACUAAAAAUUUCAAAUUUUAAAUUUUAAAUUUUCUCUUUGUAGAGAAAAAUUUUAUGUUUGAAAUUAUAAAAUAUUUUUUUGCAGAUGCUCUAAGUAUAUUUUUUUUUUUUGCAUUGGUAGUUUAAUACAACUUGGAACAGAUACUAACUAAAGAAUUUGGAAGGGAGAAGAAAGAAGGAAAAACAAUACUAAUGAUUAUGUUAGCGUAAUUUAGAAGGCUACGCUCGAUUAUGUUAAGUGAAAAUAUAUGACCAUUGGUAGAAAGUUUCCUUGUAAUUGUUCGAUGCUUUGUGAAAAUUUAAAGAGACUUCCAAUACAAUGAUUUGUCCUCCUUUUAUUGGAAAAAUGCUAACUUUCUAAUGUAAAGUAAUUAAUCGAUAAUGAUAGUCAUCUGGUCAAAAGCUUUGCUUUCUCCAGUGAUCCCUUUUCAAAGGAUUUCAGCCACUCAUUUUCCCCGACGUGCGUCAACCUUCUAUUAGUUAGAUGUAAGAUCUCGGUCAAUGUCAAAUGCAUGUAUAUGAUCUUUCUGCAAAGAAAAAAAAAGGUUUAAUACUUUAUUGUUUCUACGUUAAUAAUUUGUUCUUCUUUCCAAUCUUAUGAAUAUUUAUGCUGAUAAAAGAACAUGCAAGAAACUAUUGAAUUAUAUAUGGUUAAUACCAAAUGCCUGUGUCUAGAAGUGAUAAAAACGCAAACGUAGAAAGGUUAAAGUAUGGUACGAUCGGCAAAUACAUAGAUGCAAAUCAUAACAAAAUGUAAGACUAUAUGUAACUAAGGUUCUACCCUUUUUUUGAGGAAUUGCUCCCUUUGUUUUGCAAGUUCUGAAGACUGAAGCUCUCACACUUCUCCUUUAUCACCUUUCAUUAGACUAUCAUCUGCUUCAGGGAGAAAAGCUAAAUAAUAGAACUUUAGUGAUCAAUAAUAUCAGUUUCCCAACUUCUUAUCAUCAGCACCAUGUCUCAUUUACGCAUUUGAACCAACGUCAUUGUUUUCUUAGGGUUCCUUCUAUCCACACAAUCUCUAGUGAAUUGAUUUUAGAGGGAAAUAUUUUCUUUACAUCUUAAUCAUCCACACCACUCAAUAAAAUCAUAUUGAGCAGUAUCAUGUUGGUUUACAUAUUGCAUAGAUAUAUAACUCACACAUAUAGUGAAAAGAUAAGAAAGUAUGUAAAUCAAUUUUCUAAAACAUAAUGGACUUAAAUCUUAUAACACUAUUAUAUGUUCAAAAUAUUAAACAUUAUAUAUAAAUUAACAAUUUAAGCAAGAAAACAAGAGUAGCGCAGGGGAUGUAUCUUUUGUAGAUUUUGGAAGUCAUACUUAUGGGUCUAGGUUACAAAGUACUGCAUUAGAGACAUUUAUUCGAACAGCAUUUUCCUCUCAAACGAAAAGUCAAAAUUCGUAGCUCCUAUCGUUAACCCUCAUUUCUAGGAUCCUUCUUCAUCAGCGUUGGAUGUGUAACAUGUGUCCAAGGUCGCUUCUUCUCUCGCCUCUGAUGUAGUUAUGAAGGAUUCUAUCUCGCAUGCUUCAAGAGAAUAUCUCCUCUUCAAUAGAGGUUCUACCUGGUUUUACUAGCUCAUUAUCAGAGCCAGUGGGUUCUACUCCAACUGUUUUGGAGUUGCGAAGAACGGUGUUGUUCGUCAAAUGACCAUCCCCCAUCUGUCUGUUACUUUCGGCCCUAUUCUAGAGGUAGUCACUCCAACUGAGAAAUCACAAUUCUCUGCAGCUUCUACUUUUAGUUGGACAGAGCACUCAAAGUCAGAAAUUAAAUUCUCAAGGUCUAUGGUUUCAGUUACUCUGACGAAAUUUGGGAUUUUCUACCCUAUGGUAAAAUUUGGAUGUUCUAAACUUCCUCUAUGGAAAAGAUAGGACGGUUCUUCAACAUGAGCUUUUGAGAGUUAGGACUCACCUUUUUUGUGAGAGAAUGGAAAGCUUCAUUCACUUUUGACCCUCCA
This is a long non-coding RNA of Brassica rapa (field mustard), 12550 nucleotides long. RefSeq lists it as uncharacterized. The record is from RefSeq and is a predicted model, not a curated record. NCBI's taxonomy places the organism in Eukaryota, Viridiplantae, Streptophyta, Magnoliopsida, Brassicales, Brassicaceae.